RNAcentral lists this ribosomal RNA (274 nucleotides) under uncultured bacterium. Its description in RNAcentral is "partial 16S ribosomal RNA". It matches the Rfam family "Bacterial small subunit ribosomal RNA", at positions 523 to 796 of the family's 1533-position model. The record is from RNAcentral.
AUACGGAGGGUGCAAGCGUUGUUCGGAUUUAUUGGGCGUAAAGCGAGUGUAGGCGGUUUGACAAGUCGAAUGUGAAAUCCCGAGGCCCAACCUCGGAACUGCAUCCGAAACUGUCAGGCUAGAGUCCCGGAGAGGAUGGCGGAAUUCCCGGUGUAGGGGUGAAAUCCGUAGAUAUCGGGAGGAACACCAGUGGCGAAGGCGGCCAUCUGGACGGUGACUGACGCUGAGACUCGAAAGUGUGGGUAGCAAACAGGAUUAGAUACCCUAGUAGUCC